GUGAAUCAUCAAAUUUUUGAACGCAAAUUGCACUCUCUUCGGAGAGUAUGCCUGUUUGAGUGUCAGCCUAAAAAAAAUCGACGUAGUCUCUGUUGCGCGGUGUCAUUCUUCGGAAAUUGUGUCAUCUUAAACCUUUGGGUUUUUUAAGCGGCUUAAAAUUUUCUUUACGAUUCGACGAACUUUUCUAAGAUUUACUUACACUUUUAAGGUAUCGAUCUUUAUUAGACGUGGCCUUUUCUUCGGUUCUCGUCCAUAAAUA
Molecule: unclassified non-coding RNA, 259 nt
Filed under: Glomus sp.
Lineage: Eukaryota; Fungi; Glomeromycota; Glomeromycetes; Glomerales; Glomeraceae
Description: partial contains 5.8S ribosomal RNA and internal transcribed spacer 2
Rfam family: 5.8S ribosomal RNA (bases 1-65)
Source: RNAcentral